RNAcentral lists this ribosomal RNA (465 nucleotides) under uncultured bacterium. Its description in RNAcentral is "partial 16S ribosomal RNA". It matches the Rfam family "Bacterial small subunit ribosomal RNA", at positions 28 to 507 of the family's 1533-position model. The record is from RNAcentral.
GACGAACGCUGGCGGCGUGCUUAACACAUGCAAGUCGAACGGAAAGGCCCUGCUUGCAUUGUACUCGAGUGGCGAACGGGGGAGUAACACGUGGGUGAUCUGCCCUGCACUUCGGGAUAAGCCUGGAAAACUGGGUCGAAUACCGGAUAGGAGCCAUUCUUAGUGUGAUGGUUGGAAAGUUUUUUCGGUGUAGGAUUAGCUCGCGGCCUAUUAGCUUGUUGGUGGGGUAAUGUCCUACCAAGGCGGCGACGGGUAGCCGGCCCGAGAGGGUGGACGGCCACAGUGGGACUGAGGUAGGGCCCAGACUGGUACGGGAGGCAGAAGUGGGGAAUAUUGCAGAAUGGGCGCAAGCGUGAUGCAGAGACGCCGCGUGGGGGAUGACGGCCUUCGGGUUGUAAACGCCUGUCGCUAGGGAAGAAGCUUUUUGUGACGGUACCUAGAUAAGAAGCGCCGGCUAACUACGUG